AACACCGGUUCCCGUACGAUCAAUGAAGUUAAGCAACGUCGAGCCUGGUCAGUACCAAGAUGGGCGACCGCUUAGGUAUACCAGUUGCUGUUA
Non-coding RNA from Acanthosepion pharaonis, 93 nucleotides. The record is from the annotation of a GenBank genome assembly. NCBI's taxonomy places the organism in Eukaryota, Metazoa, Mollusca, Cephalopoda, Sepiida, Sepiidae.